GAUGAACGCUGGCGGCGUGCCUAAUACAUGCCAGUCGAGCGAACAGACGAGGAGCUUGCUCCUCUGACGUUAGCGGCGGACGGGUGAGUAACACGUGGAUAACCUACCUAUAAGACUGGGAUAACUUCGGGAAACCGGAGCUAAUACCGGAUAAUAUAUUGAACCGCAUGGUUCAAUAGUGAAAGACGGUUUUGCUGUCACUUAUAGAUGGAUCCGCGCCGCAUUAGCUAGUUGGUAAGGUAACGGCUUACCAAGGCAACGAUGCGUAGCCGACCUGAGAGGGUGAUCGGCCACACGGGAACUGAGACACGGUCAAGACUCCUACGGGAGGCAGCAGUAGGGAAUCUUCCGCAAUGGGCGAAAGCUUGACGGAGCAACGCCGCGUGAGUGAUGAAGGUCUUCGGAUCGUAAAACUCUGUUAUUAGGGAAAAACAAAUGUGUAAGUAACUAUGCACGUCUUGACGGUACCUAAUCAGAAAGCCACGGCUAACUACGUG
RNAcentral lists this ribosomal RNA (497 nucleotides) under uncultured bacterium. RNAcentral's name for it is "partial 16S ribosomal RNA". It matches the Rfam family "Bacterial small subunit ribosomal RNA", at positions 28 to 507 of the family's 1533-position model. The record is from RNAcentral.